Molecule: ribosomal RNA, 253 nt
Filed under: uncultured bacterium
Lineage: Bacteria
Description: partial 16S ribosomal RNA
Rfam family: Bacterial small subunit ribosomal RNA
Source: RNAcentral
UACGUAGGGGGCUAGCGUUGUCCGGAAUCAUUGGGCGUAAAGCGCUUGUAGGCGGCCCGGUAAGUCCGCUGUGAAAGUCGGGGGCUCAACCCUCGGAUGCCGGUGGAUACUGUCGGGCUUGAGUGCGGAAGAGGCGAGUGGAAUUCCUGGUGUAGCGGUGAAAUGCGCAGAUAUCAGGAGGAACACCAAUUGCGAAGGCAGCUCGCUGGGACGUUACUGACGCUGAGACGCGAAAGCGUGGGGAGCAAACAGG